GACGGAGGGUGCUAGCGUUGUUCGGAUUUACUGGGCGUAAAGGGCGCGUAGGCGGCCUGGUCAGUCGGGUGUGAAAGCCCGGGGCUCAACCCCGGAACGGCACCCGAGACGGCCAGGCUGGAGACCGGGAGAGGAGGGUGGAAUAGCCAGUGUAGAGGUGAAAUUCAUAGAUAUUGGCUGGAACACCGGUGGCGAAAGCGGCUCUCUGGCCCGGUUCUGACGCUGAGGCGCGAAAGCGUGGGGAGCAAACAGG
Molecule: ribosomal RNA, 253 nt
Filed under: uncultured bacterium
Lineage: Bacteria
Description: partial 16S ribosomal RNA
Rfam family: Bacterial small subunit ribosomal RNA
Source: RNAcentral